UUUCCGUAGGUGAACCUGCGGGAGGAUCAUUACAGUAGUCACCCAGGUUGCCGCAAGGCCUCCUGGGUAACCUACCACCCUUUGUUUAUUACACUUUGUUGCUUUGGCAAGCCUGCCCUCGGGCUGCUGGCUCCGGCCGGCGAGCGCUUGCCAGAGGACCUAAACUCUGUUUGUCUAUACUGUCUGAGUACUAUAUAAUAGUUAAAACUUUCAACAACGGAUCUCUUGGUUCUG
This 234-nucleotide unclassified non-coding RNA is filed under the name plant metagenome. RNAcentral describes it as "partial contains small subunit ribosomal RNA, internal transcribed spacer 1, and 5.8S ribosomal RNA". The record is from RNAcentral.